GUCAUGUCCCGGGGACGGUGGAACUCCGUACCGGCGGUGAGAGUCCGCGAACCGGCCAGUGGGCCGGCCGAUCUGGUGGAAUUCCAGGACCGACAGUCAGAGUCUGGAGGGGAGGCGCAUGAC
This 123-nucleotide non-coding RNA is filed under the name Propionibacterium acidifaciens. RNAcentral's name for it is "FMN sequence". It matches the Rfam family "FMN riboswitch aptamer (RFN element)". Rfam says of the family: The RFN element is a highly conserved domain that is found frequently in the 5'-untranslated regions of prokaryotic mRNAs that encode for flavin mononucleotide (FMN) biosynthesis and transport proteins. This element is a metabolite-dependent riboswitch that directly binds FMN in the absence of proteins. The record is from RNAcentral. Lineage: Bacteria; Bacillati; Actinomycetota; Actinomycetes; Propionibacteriales; Propionibacteriaceae.